RNAcentral lists this ribosomal RNA (500 nucleotides) under uncultured bacterium. RNAcentral describes it as "partial 16S ribosomal RNA". It matches the Rfam family "Bacterial small subunit ribosomal RNA", at positions 30 to 523 of the family's 1533-position model. The record is from RNAcentral.
AUUGAACGCUGGCGGCAUGCUUUACACAUGCAAGUCGAACGGUAACAGGGUGCUUGCACCGCUGACGAGUGGCGAACGGGUGAGUAAUGCGUCGGAACGUGCCGAGUAGUGGGGGAUAACGCAGCGAAAGUUGUGCUAAUACCGCAUACGUACUGAGGUAGAAAGUGGGGGACCUUCGGGCCUCACGCUAUUCGAGCGGCCGACGUCUGAUUAGCUAGUAGGUGGGGUAAAGGCUCACCUAGGCGACGAUCAGUAGCGGGUCUGAGAGGAUGAUCCGCCACACUGGGACUGAGACACGGCCCAGACUCCUACGGGAGGCAGCAGUGGGGAAUUUUGGACAAUGGGCGAAAGCCUGAUCCAGCCAUGCCGCGUGUCUGAAGAAGGCCUUCGGGUUGUAAAGGACUUUUGUCAGGGAGGAAAUCCCUAGUGCUAUUAACACUGGGGGAUGACAGUACCUGAAGAAUAAGCACCGGCUAACUACGUGCCAGCCGCCGACGUAA